UGGAAAGAUGAAUCAAAGAAGGUAAUAAUCCUGUAGUCGAAAAUGUUGUCUCUCUUGAGUGGAUCCUGAGUACGACGGAGCACGUGAAAUUCCGUCGGAAUCUGGGAGGACCAUCUCCUAAGGCUAAAUACUCUCUAGUGACCGAUAGUGAACCAGUACCGUGAGGGAAAGGUGAAAAGCACCCCGGAAGGGGAGUGAAAUAGAACCUGAAACCGUGUGCUUACAAGUAGUCAGAGCCCGUUAAUGGGUGAUGGCGUGCCUUUUGUAGAAUGAACCGGCGAGUUACGAUUUGAUGCAAGGUUAAGCAGUAAAUGUGGAGCCGUAGCGAAAGCGAGUCUGAAUAGGGCGUUUAGUAUUUGGUCGUAGACCCGAAACCAGGUGAUCUACCCUUGGUCAGGUUGAAGUUCAGGUAACACUGAAUGGAGGACCGAACCGACUUACGUUGAAAAGUGAGCGGAUGAACUGAGGGUAGCGGAGAAAUUCCAAUCGAACCUGGAGAUAGCUGGUUCUCUCCGAAAUAGCUUUAGGGCUAGCCUCAAGUGAUGAUUAUUGGAGGUAGAGCACUGUUUGGACGAGGGGCCCCUCUCGGGUUACCGAAUUCAGACAAACUCCGAAUGCCAAUUAAUUUAACUUGGGAGUCAGAACAUGGGUGAUAAGGUCCGUGUUCGAAAGGGAAACAGCCCAGACCACCAGCUAAGGUCCCAAAAUAUAUGUUAAGUGGAAAAGGAUGUGGCGUUGCCCAGACAACUAGGAUGUUGGCUUAGAAGCAGCCAUCAUUUAAAGAGUGCGUAAUAGCUCACUAGUCGAGUGACACUGCGCCGAAAAUGUACCGGGGCUAAACAUAUUACCGAAGCUGUGGAUUGUCCUUUGGACAAUGGUAGGAGAGCGUUCUAAGGGCGUUGAAGCAUGAUCGUAAGGACAUGUGGAGCGCUUAGAAGUGAGAAUGCCGGUGUGAGUAGCGAAAGACGGGUGAGAAUCCCGUCCACCGAUUGACUAAGGUUUCCAGAGGAAGGCUCGUCCGCUCUGGGUUAGUCGGGUCCUAAGCUGAGGCCGACAGGCGUAGGCGAUGGAUAACAGGUUGAUAUUCCUGUACCACCUAUAAUCGUUUUAAUCGAUGGGGGGACGCAGUAGGAUAGGCGAAGCGUGCGAUUGGAUUGCACGUCUAAGCAGUAAGGCUGAGUAUUAGGCAAAUCCGGUACUCAUUAAGGCUGAGCUGUGAUGGGGAGAAGACAUUGUGUCUUCGAGUCGUUGAUUUCACACUGCCGAGAAAAGCCUCUAGAUAGAAAAUAGGUGCCCGUACCGCAAACCGACACAGGUAGUCAAGAUGAGAAUUCUAAGGUGAGCGAGCGAACUCUCGUUAAGGAACUCGGCAAAAUGACCCCGUAACUUCGGGAGAAGGGGUGCUCUUUAGGGUUAACGCCCAGAAGAGCCGCAGUGAAUAGGCCCAAGCGACUGUUUAUCAAAAACACAGGUCUCUGCUAAACCGUAAGGUGAUGUAUAGGGGCUGACGCCUGCCCGGUGCUGGAAGGUUAAGAGGAGUGGUUAGCUUCUGCGAAGCUACGAAUCGAAGCCCCAGUAAACGGCGGCCGUAACUAUAACGGUCCUAAGGUAGCGAAAUUCCUUGUCGGGUAAGUUCCGACCCGCACGAAAGGCGUAACGAUUUGGGCACUGUCUCAACGAGAGACUCGGUGAAAUCAUAGUACCUGUGAAGAUGCAGGUUACCCGCGACAGGACGGAAAGACCCCGUGGAGCUUUACUGUAGCCUGAUAUUGAAAUUCGGCACAGCUUGUACAGGAUAGGUAGGAGCCUUUGAAACGUGAGCGCUAGCUUACGUGGAGGCGCUGGUGGGAUACUACCCUAGCUGUGUUGGCUUUCUAACCCGCACCACUUAUCGUGGUGGGAGACAGUGUCAGGCGGGCAGUUUGACUGGGGCGGUCGCCUCCUAAAAGGUAACGGAGGCGCUCAAAGGUUCCCUCAGAAUGGUUGGAAAUCAUUCAUAGAGUGUAAAGGCAUAAGGGAGCUUGACUGCGAGACCUACAAGUCGAGCAGGGUCGAAAGACGGACUUAGUGAUCCGGUGGUUCCGCAUGGAAGGGCCAUCGCUCAACGGAUAAAAGCUACCCCGGGGAUAACAGGCUUAUCUCCCCCAAGAGUUCACAUCGACGGGGAGGUUUGGCACCUCGAUGUCGGCUCAUCGCAUCCUGGGGCUGUAGUCGGUCCCAAGGGUUGGGCUGUUCGCCCAUUAAAGCGGUACGCGAGCUGGGUUCAGAACGUCGUGAGACAGUUCGGUCCCUAUCCGUCGUGGGCGUAGGAAAUUUGAGAGGAGCUGUCCUUAGUACGAGAGGACCGGGAUGGACAUACCUCUGGUGUACCAGUUGUCGUGCCAACGGCAUAGCUGGGUAGCUAUGUGUGGACGGGAUAAGUGCUGAAAGCAUCUAAGCAUGAAGCCCCCC
Molecule: ribosomal RNA, 2451 nt
Filed under: Staphylococcus aureus
Lineage: Bacteria; Bacillati; Bacillota; Bacilli; Caryophanales; Staphylococcaceae
Description: partial 23S ribosomal RNA
Rfam family: Bacterial large subunit ribosomal RNA
Source: RNAcentral